GGGGCUGUAGCUCAGUUUGGGAGAGCGCUUGCAUGGCAUGCAAGAGGUCGUCGGUUCGAUCCCGAUCAGCUCCA
RNAcentral lists this transfer RNA (74 nucleotides) under bacterium ADurb.Bin243. Its description in RNAcentral is "tRNA-Ala". It matches the Rfam family "tRNA". From Rfam's summary of the family: Transfer RNA (tRNA) molecules are approximately 80 nucleotides in length. Their secondary structure includes four short double-helical elements and three loops (D, anti-codon, and T loops). RNAcentral also lists the same sequence under 1 other name. The record is from RNAcentral.